This is a non-coding RNA of Podarcis lilfordi (Lilford's wall lizard), 67 nucleotides long. Lineage: Eukaryota; Metazoa; Chordata; Lepidosauria; Squamata; Lacertidae. The record is from the annotation of a GenBank genome assembly.
CCAUAGUUCAGUGGCAGAACAUCUGCUUUGCAUGCAGAAGGUUCCAGGUUUGUUCCAGGUUUGGGGA